Phrynosoma platyrhinos (Desert horned lizard) is the source of this 72-nucleotide non-coding RNA. NCBI's taxonomy places the organism in Eukaryota, Metazoa, Chordata, Lepidosauria, Squamata, Phrynosomatidae. The record is from the annotation of a GenBank genome assembly.
GCCAGCAUGGCGUAGUGGUUUGAGUGCUACACUACAACUCUGGAGACCAAGAUUCAAUUCCCAGCUCGGCCA